GNUUCUUGAUAAUAUUUUUAAGUCUGACCUGCUCACUGAAUAAAUUUAAAGAGCCGCGGUAUUUUGACCGUGCAAAGGUAGCAUAAUCAUUAGUUUCUUAAUUAGAGGCUUGAAUGAAUGGUUUGACGAGAAAUUAACUGUCUCUUAAUAAAUUUUAGAAUUUAACUUUUAAGUUAAAAGGCUUAAAUACUUCUUUAGGACGAGAAGACCCUAUAGAGCUUGAUAUUUAUAAGUUUUAUAUUAUUUUAGGUUAUCUUUUUAUGUAAUUUUUUACUAUUUGGUUGGGGUGACAUGAAGAAUAAUUAAACUCUUCAUUAUUAAAUCAAUGAUUUAUGUUCAUUUGAUCCAUAAUUUAUGAUCAUAAGAUUAAGUUACCUUAGGGAUAACAGCGUAAUCAUUUUUGAGAGUUCAUAUCGACAAAAUGGAUUGCGACCUCGAUGUUGGAUUAAGAUUAAUUUUAGGUGUAGUAGCUUAAUAAUUAGGUCUGUUCGACCUUUAAAUUCUU
RNAcentral lists this ribosomal RNA (505 nucleotides) under Bryodemella gansuensis. RNAcentral's name for it is "Bryodema gansuensis partial 16S ribosomal RNA". It matches the Rfam family "Archaeal large subunit ribosomal RNA", at positions 1908 to 2666 of the family's 2987-position model. The record is from RNAcentral. Lineage: Eukaryota; Metazoa; Arthropoda; Insecta; Orthoptera; Acrididae.